This 384-nucleotide ribosomal RNA is filed under the name uncultured eukaryote. RNAcentral's name for it is "SSU rRNA". It matches the Rfam family "Eukaryotic small subunit ribosomal RNA", at positions 587 to 972 of the family's 1831-position model. The record is from RNAcentral.
AGCUCCAAUAGCGUAUAUUAAAGUUGUUGCAGUUAAAAAGCUCGUAGUUGGAUUUGUGGUCCUGGUUGUUUGGUCCCACGCUUUAGUGUGGGUACCUGAAUGACUGGUCCAUCCUUGGGUGGAAUCUGUGUGGCAUUAAGUUGUCGUGCAGGGGAUGCCCAUCGUUUACUGUGAAAAAAUUAGAGUGUUCAAAGCAGGCUUAUGCCGUUGAAUAUAUUAGCAUGGAAUAAUGAGAUAGGACCUCGGUACUAUUUUGUUGGUUUGCGCACUGAGGUAAUGGUUAAUAGGGACAGUUGGGGGUAUUCGUAUUCCAUUGUCAGAGGUGAAAUUCUUGGAUUUUUGGAAGACGAACGACUGCGAAAGCAUUUACCAAGGAUGUUUUCA